This 207-nucleotide long non-coding RNA is filed under the name Lathyrus oleraceus (garden pea). RNAcentral describes it as "Pisum sativum (pea) long non-coding RNA (PSAT_LNC038568)". The record is from RNAcentral. Lineage: Eukaryota; Viridiplantae; Streptophyta; Magnoliopsida; Fabales; Fabaceae.
AAAUAAUUUUUUUUCAGAAUUUUAAAAUGCAAAAAGGUAUUUUUGAACCAAUUAAAACAAAGUACAAAAGAUAAAAUUCCAGAAAAAUAAAAAAUCAAGAAAAUAAAAUAUGGAAAAAUAAAAAUGAGAUGAAGAAAAAUAAAAGAGAAUUUUAGAAAUUAUUUUUGGAUUUUUUUGAUAAAAAUGAAAUUACUACAAAUUUUUAAA